This 253-nucleotide ribosomal RNA is filed under the name uncultured bacterium. RNAcentral's name for it is "partial 16S ribosomal RNA". It matches the Rfam family "Bacterial small subunit ribosomal RNA", at positions 524 to 776 of the family's 1533-position model. The record is from RNAcentral. RNAcentral also lists the same sequence under 1 other name.
UACGUAGGCAGCAAGCGUUGUUCGGAAUUACUGGGCGUAAAGAGUGUGUAGGCGGUGCUCCAAGUCUGGUGUGAAAUCUCCCGGCUUAACUGGGAGGGUGCAUUAGAAACUGGAAUGCUAGAGGAUGGGAGAGGUAAGCGGAAUUCCUGGUGUAGCGGUGAAAUGCGUAGAUAUCAGGAGGAACACCUGUGGUGUAGACAGCUUACUGGACCAUUUCUGACGCUGAGACACGAAAGCGUGGGUAGCAAACAGG